Molecule: ribosomal RNA, 253 nt
Filed under: uncultured bacterium
Lineage: Bacteria
Description: partial 16S ribosomal RNA
Rfam family: Bacterial small subunit ribosomal RNA
Source: RNAcentral
UAUGGAGGGUGCAAGCGUUAAUCGGAAUUACUGGGCGUAAAGCGCAUGCAGGCGGUCUGUUAAGUCAGAUGUGAAAACCCCGGGCUUAACCUGGGAACUGCAUUUGAAACUGGCAGGCUUGAGUCUUGUAGAGGGGGGUAGAAUUCCAGGUGUAGCGGUGAAAUGCGUAGAGAUCUGGAGGAAUACCGGUGGCGAAGGCGGCCCCCUGGACAAAGACUGACGCUCAGGUGCGAAAGCGUGGGGAGCAAACAGG